RNAcentral lists this long non-coding RNA (259 nucleotides) under Trifolium pratense (red clover). RNAcentral's name for it is "long non-coding RNA (TPRA_LNC006270)". The record is from RNAcentral. Lineage: Eukaryota; Viridiplantae; Streptophyta; Magnoliopsida; Fabales; Fabaceae.
AUUUAUAAUUUAAUUAAAGUAUAAAUUUUAAUAUAUAAAUAAUAAUCGUAAUAAAAAUAUUAUUCAUGUUAACUUAAAUAGGCCGGCCUAGUAGGCCUCAAAGGCUUUUUUAAUGGCCUGCGGCCUGGCCUUUUUAGCUAAAUAGGCUUAUAAAAAAGCAUUGGCCUGCUCUAUUUAAAGAAAUAGGCUGAUCUGGCCUGAGCCUAUGUAGGCUAGGCCUUAAGGCCAUGUAGGCCGGCCUGGCCUGUUCCCACCUCUA